Molecule: long non-coding RNA, 3525 nt
Organism: Oncorhynchus tshawytscha (Chinook salmon)
Lineage: Eukaryota; Metazoa; Chordata; Actinopteri; Salmoniformes; Salmonidae
Source: Ensembl
ACUUAGAUGUAAUACUGUUGAUGCGCUGACAUGUCUUACGCAGAAAUGUCUUAAUAUAUUCAUCUGAUUUUUUUUUAUCUUCUUCAUUUUCUUCAAUUUAUAACUUCCAUUUUGUGUGUUCCUCAAUUAUUAUUUUUUACCUGUUUUUUUUAAAUGUUUUUUUUUGUCUUCAAAUAUUGUAUCAUAUUUCCUACUAACGUGUAUGUAUUUAAAGCACACUGAGAAUGCUCUGAUGUGUAUCUGUCUACGACCCCCCUCCUCCCAUCAGUUAGCCUCGCUCCCUCCCUCUCUCUUUAGUAUAAUGUCAUGUUUGACAACGGUAGUUUUUUCCAAACAUGUGGAUGUAUUUAAGCACAGUGUACUAGAUAGAAUGUAUGCUCCCUGGUCCCUGUCGAUAGGUGGAGUUUGACAACUGAUCUGAUUGCUGUAAAUAGCUUAAGUGAAGACUUGUGGCAUUAGAUCUGUUUGCGGAUGGCUUCAACCAUGCCAAUGGACAGACAGGGCAGGCAUCAAAGUACCUAACACGUAGAGGAACAACAGCUUUGUAAAAAAACACUUUUUAAACCUGUCCCAAAUGGAACCCCAUAUAUAGUGCACUACUUGUGACCAGGGCCCAUAGGCUUCCAUUUGGGACACAGUAUUUGUCACUUUGUUUAGUCAGUCAGUCUGUGGCAGGUUAGCUUAGCAUGUUAUGAUGAUGAUGAUGACGAUGUCACUUCAUGGCACCGAUUUGCUGCCUCGCAUGUUAUUUUUAUCUUGGUUUAAAAGAUGACUGAGUUAUCGUAACUCUCUGACUGAGUUAUCAGAACUCUCUGACUGAGUUAUCGGUACUCUCUGACUGAGUUAUCGGUACUCUCUGACUGAGUUAUCGGUACUCUCUGACUGAGUUAUCGGUACUCUCUGACUGAGUUAUCGGUACUCUCUGACUGAGUUAUCGGUACUCUCUGACUGAGUUAUCGGUACUCUCUGACUGAGUUAUCGGUACUCUCUGACUGAGUUAUCGGUACUCUCUGACUGAGUUAUCGGAACUCUCUGACUGAGUUAUCGGAACUCUCUGACUGAGUUAUCGGAACUCUCUGACUGAGUUAUCGGAACUCUCUGACUGAGUUAUCGGUACUCUCUGACUGAGUUAUCGGUACUCGCUGACUGAGUUAUCGGUACUCUCUGACUGAGUUAUCGUAACUCUCUGACUGAAUUUAUCACUGAGUUAUCGUAACUCUCUGACUGAGUUAUCGUAACUCUCGGACUGAAUUUAUCACUGAGGUAUCAGGACUCUCUGACUGAGUUAUCAGAACUCUCUGACUGAAUGUGGAACACUACCAUUGCCCAGAGCAUGCAGUUGGCUAGACGGUGACCGUGGUGAAAUAACAUAGAAGUUUAUCCAUUAAACAUCUCUGAACUCUCUUGGAUAAAUUGAGCGUACAUAGUUACAGACGUCUUUAAAAACAUAGUCGGAGAUGUCUGUAUCAGGAAGUGACUAGCAUUAUAGUCAGUCAGGGAGGUCAUUCCAUUUCAAUUCAGAAAAUAAACCAUAAUUCCAAUUGCACAUUUUCCUCAUUGGAAAAACAUGGGAGAGAAUAGUGUAUUUCUGUUUUACUUUGUGAAUGGACUGGAAUUGAAAGAGCAUUAGUAGUCAGUCAAAUUACACAUUAGGUUCUUAUUUUCAACGUGAUCAAACUACAGAAUAAUGAUACCCACUGUAGUGUUCUGGCCAAACCAACUUUAAAUCAAGUCAAAUCACAUUUUAUUUGUCACAUACACAUGUAUAGGAGAUGUUAUUGCGGUUGGAGUGAAAUGCUUGUGCAACAGCGCAAUAAUAGCGAAUGAUACACACAAUUUAAAAGUGAAAGAAUGGAAUUAAGGAAUAUAAAAGUAUUAGGAUGAGCAAGGUCAGAGUGGCAUAGAUUAAAAUACAGUAGAAUAGAAUACAGUAUAUACAUAUGAGAUGAGUAAAGCAGAAAAUAUGUAAACAUUAUAAAAUAUGUUAACAACAUAUAGACUAACCAACACAUUCUAGGUAUUUCUCUUCAAGUAAUAACUUCUCUUGAAUAUGCAUGUAUACAUCUAGUGUAAAUGUGAUGCUAUACUAUAUUCUAUGCAGCCGACAGUCAGAUACCAGAGAAUAUUAAUUAAUGUAUUUUAUUUGACGAAAUAUCAAAAUGUGAAAAGAAUAAAUAAAUAAUAUGAAAUGAAUUGCUGACAAGAGACGAUUCAAUAGGAAUCAUGGUGGUCAUCUAGUCUUGUACUGCUGGUCUAGGAAUCAUGGUGGUCAUCUAGUCUUGUACUGCUGGUCUAGGAAUCAUGAUGGUCAUCUAGUCUUGUACUGCUGGUCUAGGAAUCAUGAUGGUCAUCUAGUCUUGUACUGCUGGUCUAGGAAUCAUGGUGGUUAUCUAGUCUUGUACUGCUGGUCUAGGAAUCAUGAUGGUCAUCUAGUCUUGUACUGCUGGUCUAGGAAUCAUGAUGGUCAUCUAAUCUUGUACUGCUGGUCUAGGAAUCAUGGUGGUCAUCUAGUCUUGUACUGCUGGUCUAGGAAUCAUGGUGGUCAUCUAGUCUUGUACUGCUGGUCUAGGAAUCAUGGUGGUCAUCUAGUCUUGUACUGCUGGUCUAGGAAUCAUGAUGGUCAUCUAGUCUUGUACUGCUGGUCUAGGAAUCAUGAUGGUCAUCUAGUCUUGUACUGCUGGUCUAGGAAUCAUGAUGGUCAUCUAGUCUUGUACUGCUGGUCUAGGAAUCAUGGUGGUCAUCUAGUCUUGUACUGCUGGUCUCGUUAUGACACGUCUUCAUAAUCAGAAUGUCUAUCAGUUUUCAUUCAUGUCAAGAAGCAUCUGUUAGUAAAACAUCAUUUUUUUAAAUACAUAGAUUAAAUCUUUGUCCCAAAUGUCACCCUAUUCCCUAUUAGUUCACUACCGUUGACCAGGCCCAUAGGGCUUUUGUGAAAAGUAGUGCACUACAUAGGGAAUAGGGCUCUGGUCUAUAGUAGUACCACUAUAUAGGGAAUAGGGCUCUGGUCUAUAGUAGUACCACUAUAUAGGGAAUAGGGCUCUGGUCUAUAGUAGUACCACUAUAUAGGGAAUAGGGCUCUGGUCUAUAGUAGUACCACUAUAUAGGGAAUAGGGCUCUGAUCUAAAGUUGUGCACUAGAUAGGGAAUAGGAAGACACAUCCAUAUACUGGGUCACAUUAUUUAGGUUAGCUGCUGUUCACUCUCAGUGCCUCCCUCUACCACUCAUUAAAAUCCAAUAACUCUACACCCAUCUAACAUAGAACGUUCCUACUAACCACCUCUACUCCCAUCUACCAUAGAACGUUCCUACUGGCCAACUAACCACCUCUACUCUCAUCUACCAUAGAACGUUCCUACUAACCACCUCUACUCCCAUCUACCAUAGAACGUUCCUACUGGCCAACUAACCACCUCUACUCCCAUCUACCAUAGAACGUUCCUACUGGCCAACUAACCACCUCUACUCUCAUCUACCAUAGAACGUUCCUACUAACCACCUCUACUCCCAUCUACCAUAGAACGUUCC